AUGACUUUGGGUGUUUAGCUAAAAUAAAUUUAAAGUUGAAAGCGCCUGUUUCUUACAUGUACAACGCUAAACGAGAUUUUCAUGGGAAUUUGUUAAAGCCGUGAGUCUAAUAGCAGUCGUGGGAACGUGAAACGAAGGAAACUAAAGUUAUCGAACAAUGUUGAAUGCUGUCCCAUACGUGAAGCAAAACCUGUUGAAAAACGAAAGCAGACGCUAACUUCCAGUACACGGUUACCCUUCUGAUUACAAGACGCGAUCUGAUUUUUAAUAACAUAUGGUUUUGCUUAAACACCAUAUCGACGAAAGGAAAAUUAAAAUUUAACAUUGCUUCGAGAAAAUUAUAAGUUACGCUUAUCAAAUGCACUUUAAAGUAUAAGCGUUCGUCGACAUGAAUUACUAAGCGGUGUAAAUUAAGUGGGAUCCAGUUUUACUAAGGCGCGAACUCAUUGCGCGUUGCCGGCAUGCUAAGGGCUUUGGAUGAAAUAUUUAAAAAUAUUAUAUAUAUGAAUUAAUAUUGCAAGCUGUGAAGUUUCUGCUUUUCUGAAUGUAAUCCAUCCCGAAUUGAUUUUAAGGGAGGAAAUGACAUUUUUCGCAUAGAAUUCAAUAAAUUUCUUGUGAUUGGAAUAUCAUAAAAGAAAGCAUAAAUCUUGUAAGCAGAGAAACAGGAGUAAAAGGUGUAUUUAUUUCGGCUUGAAACUGAAAAAUGUCGAUUUAGUUAAUUCAUGUUAAUAAUAAUAUCGGAAGAUAUGAGAACGGUGUCAUCAAUCCUUUCCAGAAACACCGGCAUUGUUGCGAUCGCUUACAUAAAUAAUAGAAACUCGGCACGCUGCCAGAUGUAUUGGUAUUGUUGUCUGCAGGCAUAACACAUUCAUCUACUCAAACAAAAUUUAGAUGAAGUACGAAAAAUAAAGGUUAAGUACAUGAAUAACUAAUGCAGCGAGCUUUCGGAUUUUAUGGUAAUCGCCAUAAUAUAACAAGUUGAAGUGGCAUGAUGCGCUCACGUUUUUCACGCAAAGCUCGACAAACUGUUUAUAAUUGAAAUUUUGUAAAAGAAAAUGUGAACCC
This is a long non-coding RNA of Glossina fuscipes, 1065 nucleotides long. RefSeq lists it as uncharacterized. The transcript is spliced from 4 exons. The record is from RefSeq and is a predicted model, not a curated record. Lineage: Eukaryota; Metazoa; Arthropoda; Insecta; Diptera; Glossinidae.